GAUGAACGCUGGCGGCGUGCCUAAUACAUGCAAGUCGAGCGAACAGACGAGGAGCUUGCUCCUCUGACGUUAGCGGCGGACGGGUGAGUAACACGUGGAUAACCUACCUAUAAGACUGGGAUAACUUCGGGAAACCGGAGCUAAUACCGGAUAAUAUAUUGAACCGCAUGGUUCAAUAGUGAAAGACGGUUUUGCUGUCACUUAUAGAUGGAUCCGCGCUGCAUUAGCUAGUUGGUAAGGUAACGGCUUACCAAGGCAACGAUGCGUAGCCGACCUGAGAGGGUGAUCGGCCACACUGGAACUGAGACACGGUCCAGACUCCUGCGGGAGGCAGCAGUAGGGAAUCUUCCGCAAUGGGCGAAAGCCUGACGGAGCAACGCCGCGUGAGUGAUGAAGGUCUUCGGAUCGUAAAACUCUGUUAUUAGGGAAGAACAAAUGUGUAAGUAACUAUGCACGUCUUGACGGUACCUAAUCAGAAAGCCACGGCUAACUACGUG
RNAcentral lists this ribosomal RNA (497 nucleotides) under uncultured bacterium. Its description in RNAcentral is "partial 16S ribosomal RNA". It matches the Rfam family "Bacterial small subunit ribosomal RNA", at positions 28 to 507 of the family's 1533-position model. The record is from RNAcentral.